Molecule: ribosomal RNA, 494 nt
Filed under: uncultured bacterium
Lineage: Bacteria
Description: partial 16S ribosomal RNA
Rfam family: Bacterial small subunit ribosomal RNA
Source: RNAcentral
GACGAACGCUGGCGGCGCGCUUAACACAUGCAAGUCGAACGGAAAGGCCUGCUUUCCCUUGUGCAUUGCGGGUACUCGAGUGGCGAACGGGUGAGUAACACGUGAGUUAUCUGCUCCCAACUUGGGUAUAAGCCUGGGAAACCGGGCCUAAUUCCCGAUAGGACUGCAGGGUGGUGCCUGUGGUGGAAAACGAUCUUCUAGUGGUUGGGGAUGAGCUCGCGGCCUAUCAGCUUGUUGGUGAGGUAAUGGUCUACCAAGUCGGCGACGGGUAGCCGGCAGGAGAGGGUGGACAGUCAGACUGAGACAGGGAUCAGACCCCGACUGGAAGGGGAGGUAGCAGUGGGGAAAAUAUGAGCAUAAGCGGGAUCCUGAAGCAGCGAGGGCGCGUAGGAGAUGACCGGGUUCGAGAUGUAAACUCCUUGCGACGGAAAGGAAGUGACCUAGUUGGAAGGGUGGUGACGGUAGUGGUAGAAGAAGCACCGGCUAACUACGUG